RNAcentral lists this ribosomal RNA (307 nucleotides) under uncultured soil bacterium. RNAcentral describes it as "bacterial SSU rRNA". It matches the Rfam family "Bacterial small subunit ribosomal RNA", at positions 27 to 337 of the family's 1533-position model. The record is from RNAcentral.
GAUUGAACGCUGGCGGCAUGCCUUACACAUGCAAGUCGAACGGCAGCACGGGAGCAAUCCUGGUGGCGAGUGGCGAACGGGUGAGUAAUACAUCGGAACGUGCCCAAUCGUGGGGGAUAACGCAGCGAAAGCUGUGCUAAUACCGCAUAAGAUCUACGGAUGAAAGCAGGGGAUCGCAAGACCUUGCGCGAAUGGAGCGGCCGAUGGCAGAUUAGGUAGUUGGUGAGGUAAGGCUCACCAAGCCUUCGAUCUGUAGCUGGUCUGAGAGGAUGAUCAGCCACACUGGAACUGAGACACGGUCCAGACU